This 439-nucleotide ribosomal RNA is filed under the name uncultured bacterium. RNAcentral's name for it is "bacterial SSU rRNA". It matches the Rfam family "Bacterial small subunit ribosomal RNA", at positions 954 to 1392 of the family's 1533-position model. The record is from RNAcentral.
GCUAAACGCGAAGAACCUUACCAAGGCUUGACAUGGAUUUCUAAGCACGUGAAAGCGUGUGACCCUUCGGGGGACUUCCACAGGUGCUGCAUGGCCGUCGUCAGCUCGUGUCGUGAGAUGUUGGGUUAAGUCCCGCAACGAGCGCAACCCCUGUGAUCAGUUGCCAGCAUGUAAUGAUGGGGACUCUGGUCAGACUGCCCAGAUCAACUGGGAGGAAGGUGGGGACGACGUCAGGUCAGUAUGGCCCUUACGCCUUGGGCUGCACACGUACUACAAUGGUCGGUACAGAGGGUUGCCAAACCGCAAGGUGGAGCCAAUCCCAGAAAGCCGAUCCCAGUCCGGAUCGGAGUCUGCAACUCGACUCCGUGAAGUCGGAAUCGCUAGUAAUCGCGGAUCAGCUAUGCCGCGGUGAAUACGUUCCCGGGUCUUGUACACACCG